AUUUAAAAUUUUCAUCCAUUUCUACUAUUAGAAAUUGGUGCGGUUGACGGAAUACCGGACAAUUACACAUGGUGUGCUAUAUAUACCUCAUGUUGAUGUACAUGUAACAAUUUUUAAUAGUAACCAUGGAUGAAAUUUUUAAUA
Molecule: non-coding RNA, 144 nt
Organism: Gossypium hirsutum (cotton)
Lineage: Eukaryota; Viridiplantae; Streptophyta; Magnoliopsida; Malvales; Malvaceae
Source: Rfam